RNAcentral lists this microRNA precursor (55 nucleotides) under Monodelphis domestica (gray short-tailed opossum). RNAcentral describes it as "microRNA mdo-mir-12332 precursor". Lineage: Eukaryota; Metazoa; Chordata; Mammalia; Didelphimorphia; Didelphidae. The record is from miRBase by way of RNAcentral.
GAGGCGUGGGGGGCCUUGGCCCGGUUCGCUUCGGCUCCCGGCCCUCCUAGCCAGG